This 500-nucleotide ribosomal RNA is filed under the name uncultured Lactobacillus sp. RNAcentral's name for it is "bacterial SSU rRNA". It matches the Rfam family "Bacterial small subunit ribosomal RNA", at positions 9 to 492 of the family's 1533-position model. Lineage: Bacteria; Bacillati; Bacillota; Bacilli; Lactobacillales; Lactobacillaceae. The record is from RNAcentral.
GAGUUUGAUCAUGGCUCAGGACGAACGCUGGCGGCAUGCCUAAUACAUGCAAGUCGAACGAGGUUUCCUUAAUGGUGGUUGGUGCUUGCAUCAACUUGACUUAAGAUCUAACCGAGUGGCGAACUGGUGAGUAACACGUGGGGAACCUGCCCUUAAGUAGGGGAUAACAUUUGGAAACAAAUGCUAAUACCGUAUAACAACAUAGACCACAUGGUUUAUGCUUGAAAGAUGGCUCUGCUAUCGCUUUUGGAUGGACCCGCGGCGUAUUAGCUAGUUGGUGAGAUAAUGGCUCACCAAGGCGAUGAUACGUAGCCGGCCUGAGAGGGCGGACGGCCACACUGGGACUGAGACACGGCCCAGACUCCUGCGGGAGGCAGCAGUGGGGAAUAUUGCACAAUGGGGGAAACCCUGAUGCAGCGACGCCGCGUGAAGGAAGAAGUAUCUCGGUAUGUAAACUUCUAUCAGCAGGGAAGAAACAGACGGUACCUGACUAAGAAGCC